UACGUAGGGGGCAAGCGUUGUCCGGAAUCAUUGGGCGUAAAGAGCGUGUAGGCGGCUCGGUAAGUCCGCUGUGAAAGUCCAGGGCUCAACCCUGGAAUGCCGGUGGAAACUGUCGAGCUCGAGUCCGGAAGAGGCGAGUGGAAUUCCUGGUGUAGCGGUGAAAUGCGCAGAUAUCAGGAGGAACACCAAUGGCGAAGGCAGCUCGCUGGGACGGUACUGACGCUGAGACGCGAAAGCCAGGGGAGCAAACGGG
This 253-nucleotide ribosomal RNA is filed under the name uncultured bacterium. Its description in RNAcentral is "partial 16S ribosomal RNA". It matches the Rfam family "Bacterial small subunit ribosomal RNA", at positions 524 to 776 of the family's 1533-position model. The record is from RNAcentral.